This 1158-nucleotide long non-coding RNA is filed under the name Cairina moschata (Muscovy duck). RNAcentral describes it as "domestica (muscovy Duck (domestic type)) lncRNA (ENSCMMG00000014352.1)". Lineage: Eukaryota; Metazoa; Chordata; Aves; Anseriformes; Anatidae. The record is from RNAcentral.
AUGGCUCUCCAGGGCAGCUUGGGGCCGAGCAGACACGGGUGUGCCGGCCUGGCCUGGUGGGGAGCGGAGCCCGGUGCUGCCCACACCUCACCCCAGCUGCAGUUGAGCCUGGAGGGUCAGCUUUCUGCUGCUGCUGUCUUUCUGCAGCUGGUGGGCCUGGGGAGACGAAGCUCAGGGAGCAGGUCCCGAGCACACCUUGGGGUAAAGCGGGUGCUGUCGGGCUGGAAGGGGCCCCCAGGAGCUACCCGAGCCCUGCACGCUGGACCACCCGGCGGCGUGAUCCCCUUUGGCUGCCCAAUGGUUCUUGGGGGUGGUGGGCAAGGCAAAGCCCCUGCCGCUGGGCGCCUGGGGGCAGAGCGGGUGCUGGGGGCGCGCUGUGCCCAUCCCCGAGCCCCCAUCACCGAGCCCGAACCCCCAUUCCCGAGCCCCCACCCCCAAGUCCCCAGCCCCAUCCCCGAGCCCCCAUUCCCGAGCCCCCAUCCCCUUGCUCCCACCCCAGCCCCAAGCCCCCAGCCCCACCCCCGAGCCCGCAGCCCCCCUCCCGGUGCCGCCGCCGCCCCCCACCCUGCGGCAGGCGCCGCCCCCUCCCCUCCCUUUCCCUUCCCUUUCCCUCCCCUCCCCUCCCGGCCCCUCCCGGCCCCCCCUCCCCGCUCGCCUUUGUGCAGCCGCCGCUCGCCGCCCGUCGCCGCCCGGCCCGGAGCAGCGGGGGGCGCCGGCCCCAGCCCCUCUCCCCCCCACCCCCGGCGAACUCAGGUGGGUCCGAGGGAUGGGGGGCACAUCCUCACGCCCCCCAGCAUCCCCCCAGCGCCUUUCGGCUGCCCGCCACCCCCUCGGGGGGGCAGCCGAGGGGGGCCGGGGCCGUGCCCCCGGGGGUCGCCGUGCGCCACGGGGGAGCCGUCGGUGCCCGGGGCAUCUUCGUGUGCCUCGGGCCCCCAGCAUCCCCGGCCCGGCGGCUGCCAUGGUAACGGUGGCACCGAGAUCCCCUCGUCGCCUGGAUCCCGACCCCCCCACGGGGAGGAUGCUCGGGCACGGCCGUGCCCACCGGAGAGCACCGCGGGCGCGCCCUGGGCGUGCGUCGCCUCCGCCGGGCUCCGUGGGGAUGGUGGGGACAGGGGAGGGGGCUCCCCCCCGCUGGCAGCGUUUGGGUUGUGUUUUUAA